RNAcentral lists this unclassified non-coding RNA (401 nucleotides) under Hevea brasiliensis (rubber tree). Lineage: Eukaryota; Viridiplantae; Streptophyta; Magnoliopsida; Malpighiales; Euphorbiaceae. The record is from RNAcentral.
AAGAUGAUGCUCCAAAACAGCCAAGAGCUCCCUACCGUUGCUUACCUCUUCCAACACUCCACCACCAAGCCUUCUAGCGGCUUCGACCAGCUGUCCCCUCAGCUUUUGUGAAAACAAGUAUCCAUUCACCUUUAUACAUUCCCUAUACAGCGGUAAAUAAGCUAUUGCAACCCUCAGGGGUGCUGGAAUAUCCCUCAAAGAGAUUGGAGAUCCACCCCACCUCAAAAUCCGUACAAAGUUCAAGUAAUUUUCUUGACCUUGUCUCAACCCAUCAAUGUAAGCCGCUUCCGACCAGUGCUCCCGAAGAAAUGCCCUAAGCUCCGGAGCAACAGACUCAUCGCUCGACUUGGAGAUACUGUCUGCAACAGCAUAUGUUGCAGAAGGAUCACCAAGAAAGUUGG